This 405-nucleotide ribosomal RNA is filed under the name uncultured bacterium. Its description in RNAcentral is "partial 16S ribosomal RNA". It matches the Rfam family "Bacterial small subunit ribosomal RNA", at positions 30 to 526 of the family's 1533-position model. The record is from RNAcentral.
AUUGAACGCUGGCGGCAGGCCUAACACAUGCAAGUCGAACGAGUGGCGGACGGAUUGGUAAUGCUUGGGAAACUGGCUGAGGGAUGGGGAUAACAAAGGGAAACUAGAACUAAUAACGCCUUGCGUAGGCUGAGCCCACGUUGGCUAAGGUAGUUGGUGGGGUAAAGGCACACCAAGCCGACGAUCUCUAGCUGGUCUGAGAGGAUGCCCAGCCACACUGGGACUGAGACACGGCCCAGACUCCUACGGGAGGCAGCAGUGGGGAAUAUUGCGCAAUGGGGGAAACCUGACGCAGCCAUGCCGCGUGAAUGAAGAAGGCCUUCGGGUUGUAAAGUUCUUUCGGUAGAGAGGCGGUAACUACAGAAUAAGCACCGGCUAACUCCGUGCCAGCCGCCGCGGUAAUAC